ACAAAAUUAUUCGUUGGCAACAAAACAGAGAUGGAUAAUACUAAACCGUCUCUUUUUAACGUGCUCGCUCGGGCGACACUGCGUCGCGAGCGUUUCGGUUAUUGUACGGUCAAUGGGAACAACAUAGCAACUGCAGAGAUAACCGAGUCCGUGAUAAUAACACGACACGCCAGUGAUUAGUGAAUACUUGAGGCUGUUUAUUAUAUUUUAAUGACCACCUUUAUUAAUUAAUUAUAAUCACUGUCAAGUGCCAAUAGUGUAAAUCGAUAUCCGAUACCUACGUCAUAAUUUUAUACAUUGGAUUUGAGCUAUAACUAUAAUAAAAUUAUGCUUUUGUAUUCGUAACCCGAAGAAUUCGAUGUAAUUUGUUUUGUUUAAAUUUUCCUUGUCAGCGCUUUGCAUAAGACCGUGCAGGAGAUAUCGUGUGCGAAAAGCUUGAUGUGAUAUUAUAACAUGUUGAAAACUUAGCUGAGACAUCACCGCACUCUGAAGAGUUGAUUUUGAAUCUGCAUGCUCAGUUGGCCUGAAAAUAAAUAAUAAAAAUAAAAGAUUGCUCUCGUUGUUGCUUGCUGCUUGUUGCAACUUCAAAAGUUAAAAUAGGUUUAUCAUCAUCUUGUUUCGCUAAA
This is a long non-coding RNA of Aphis gossypii (cotton aphid), 626 nucleotides long. RefSeq lists it as uncharacterized. The transcript is spliced from 3 exons. The record is from RefSeq and is a predicted model, not a curated record. NCBI's taxonomy places the organism in Eukaryota, Metazoa, Arthropoda, Insecta, Hemiptera, Aphididae.